UACAGAGGGUGCAAGCGUUGUUCGGAAUUAUUGGGCGUGAAGGGAGUGUAGGCGGUUUGAAAAGUCCUCUGUGAAAUCUACGGGCUUAGCCUGUAAAGUGCAGAGGAUACUAUCAGGCUUGAGUAUCGGAGAGGAUAGGGGAAUACCCAGUGUAGAGGUGAAAUUCGUAGAGAUUGGGUGGAACACCAGUGGCGAAGGCGCCUAUCUGGCCGAUAACUGACGCUGAGACUCGAAAGCAUGGGGAGCAAACAGG
RNAcentral lists this ribosomal RNA (253 nucleotides) under uncultured bacterium. Its description in RNAcentral is "partial 16S ribosomal RNA". It matches the Rfam family "Bacterial small subunit ribosomal RNA", at positions 524 to 776 of the family's 1533-position model. The record is from RNAcentral.